AAUAGGGUGGUGUAAUGGGCACGCAGAGCUUUGGUUUCUGAUGAGAUUGGUCAAACGGUCCUCUAUUU
This 68-nucleotide transfer RNA is filed under the name Macridiscus melanaegis. Its description in RNAcentral is "tRNA-Gln". The record is from RNAcentral. Lineage: Eukaryota; Metazoa; Mollusca; Bivalvia; Venerida; Veneridae.